UAUCAAACUAAUCACGCCCCCUUUUUAUCUGCGUUCGUAAUCGCUCUGUCAACAACUUCAAAAACAAACCCUAGAUUUUCUAAAUCAAAAUCCUCAUGGCAAUCGACGCCGAUCAGAAACCUUCACGCACUACCAAACACCACCGUAACUCCGCCGACGAAUCCGAGAGAACCUCCAAGCGCCACAAGCACCGUCACCACCACCACCGCCGUCACAAACACCACCACCGCUCUAAAAAACACGACGAUAUCGAAAUUAAAGAUGUCGCGGAUGUCGAGAAUGCGUCAGCGCCUGUUCCUCCUCUGGCUGUUGUGUCCAAUGGUAAUUGGCAACCGGAUUACGAUAUGGAAGAAGGCGAGAUUGUCGAUGACGAUCGCGACGACACGGAUAAGAAGUUGGAUUGUUCCAUUCAAUUGACGGAGGCUGGGGGGGUUGCACUUGACGGGGAUGGCUUUAAUGUAGAGGACCAGAACAAGAAAGGUGGUAGCGACGUGAAUGUGAUGGGAGAGGUUGAUAGUGGUGCUGUUUUCAAAGAUGAAUCAAUGAUUGUUGGAAAAGGAGGAAGUAGUUUGGAGACUGAGUUAUGUGAUUCAGUUGACUUGCAAAGAAGUUCAAGUGUGGAACAUCAUGUCAAUGGUGGAAUUGUUAAAGACAAGAAUAACAAGUAUUUGUCAUCUUCACGAUGUGAAGUAUUGGAAAUAAGGAUGGAGAACAGAAUUGAUGAAAAUGAAUCCAUUGGCGUCAGGAAAUCAUCUCAGCCCGAAACUCCAAUUGAGAGACGUAAAGCUUUUGAGUAUUCUCCGUCACAAGGACGAUAUAAUGAAAAGUAUCGCAGGACGAGUAGAUCAACAUCACGUGAAGGAGAUAGGGAAAGGUCACGAUCGCAAAGCAUUAUUCAUGAUGUGCCACUUUUGCAUACACAUCACCCGGAUGCUGCAUAUGAUACAGAGAGGAAGAGGACGUUAGGUUCUGAUGAAGAAACUAUAAGUAAACACCAAAGGGAUGGCUGCGUGCGGAGCAGAGACUUGUCAAGGGAUAAAAGAAGGGAGCGCAGUUUAAGCUAUGGUAGCAGACAUGGUGUACGCGUGGACGUCCACAUUCAGGAGACUUCUGAUUGUAAUAGAGAUAUAAAUUCGGACGAUCGAGAAGUUGUUGAGGAAAAAGAUAGAAAUAGAGAGAGGAAGAGGGAGGAUAAGAGAGAGAGGGAGAGAAGCAGGGAGAUGGAAAAGAACAGAGAGAGGGAGAGAAGCAGGGAGAUGGAAAAAAACAGAGAGAGGGAGAGAAGCAGGGAAAAAAAUAGAGAGAGGGAGACUGAGAGGUACAGAGAGAGGGAGCGGAAAAGGGACAGGAGUAAGGAGAGGGAGAGGGAGCGGAGGGACAGGAGUAAUGAGAGGGAGAGGGAGAGAGAGAGGAUCAGGGAGAGAGCUAGAGAUAGGAGGGGGAGAGAGGGAGAAAGAAGGGACAAAGAAAGAAAUAGAGAUAGGGAGAAAGAGGAUGAUCAGGAUAUCAGCUACCGUAAAUAUUAUGAUGCUGAUAACAUUGGCAAUCAAGAAAGGCGUAAUGAUCACAGGCGCCAGAGGUCAGAUGAUAAGGAGUACAGGGACAGAGUAAGGAAAUAUGAAAAUGAACAGAUUCAAAGCUAUGAGACUGAUCAUUUGGAGAGGAGCACUCAAAAAUUACACAGAGAUGAUGUUGAAGAAGAAGAUUAUAAAGAAACAAUUUUUAUGCAACCUGCUGAACAGGAAGAAGAAGAUCUUAGCAGGAUUAAAGAGGAGAGUAGAAGGCGGAGACAAGCCAUCCUUGAAAAAUACAAAACUCAGCAGUCACAACAGAAGCAUGAGUUGAAGCCAGAUGAGACGGUUCUGGAGAGUGCUAAGAAGCCAUCCAAAUCAGCGGAAGAAACUCAUAGUGGUCAGAAUGAAUCAACGGACAUUUUCCUCAAUGACGCAUCAUUUUCCCUUGGCAAGUCUCCUGAACAAAUGGUGGUUCCUGGAUUGAAGAUUUCUGGAACUGGGACACUGGGAGAGGGCACUCCAAAGAGUGAAAGAUCAGAAGACAUGUUUUGUGAUGAUAUAUUUGGGGAUUCUCCUGCUGGAGUACGCAAACAGGGCAAAGAAAAUGGAUUAAAAAUCGAAAGGAGCGGUCUUCAUGAUAAUUGGGAUGAUGCCGAGGGGUAUUAUAGCUAUCGCUUUGGAGAAGUACUUGAUGGCCGGUACGAAGUUAUUGCUGCUCAUGGGAAAGGUGUAUAUUCAAAUGUUGUUCGUGCAAGGGAUCUGAAGGCUGGAUCUGGUGAUCCAGAAGAGGUGGCAAUUAAAAUCAUACGCAGUAAUGACACAAUGUACAAAGCCGGUCUCGAGGAAUUGGUUAUUUUAAAGAAGUUGGUUGGUUCUGACCCGGAGGACAGGAGACAUUGCGUUCGUUUUCUUUCAAAUUUCAAGUACAGAAAUCAUCUUUGUCUGGUUUUUGAAUCUCUUCAUAUGAAUCUUCGCGAGGUGCUAAAAAAGUUUGGUCGUAAUAUUGGACUAAAACUAACAGCUGUGAGAACAUAUGCAAAACAACUCUUUAUUGCGCUGAAGCAUCUGAAAAAUUGUGGGGUUCUUCAUUCCGACAUUAAGCCAGACAAUAUGCUGGUAAAUGAGGCCAAAAAUGUGCUAAAGCUUUCUGACUUUGGGAAUGCUAUGUUUGCUGGGAAAAAUGAAAUCACACCAUACCUUGUGAGCCGCUUUUAUCGUGCCCCUGAGAUAAUUCUGGGCCUGCCUUAUGACCAUCCCAUGGAUAUUUGGUCAGUUGGCUGCUGUUUAUAUGAACUUUAUACAGGAAAAGUUCUUUUCCCUGGUCCUUCAAAUAAUGAUAUGCUUCGCCUUCACAUGGAACUGAAGGGUCCUUUUCCAAAAAAGAUGAUUCGAAAGGGAGCAUUUACAGAUCAGCACUUUGACCAGGAUAUGAAUUUUCUUGCCACAGAGGAGGAUCCUGUUACAAAGAAGGCUAUAAAAAGGCUUAUACUUAAUAUCAAGCCGAAAGAUAUUAGUACUAUAAUUGUGGGUUCUGCUGGUGAAGAUCCAAAGAUGUUGGCCAACUUUAAGGAUAUUCUUGAAAAAAUAUUUGUGUUGGAUCCAGACAAGAGGAUUACGGUCUCACAGGCACUGAGCCAUCCGUUCAUCACGGGCAAGUGAAUCUUGAAGCUGAUUUCUGACUUCAAGAAUCCUGCUGCCCUCGAUAAUUGUAUAUAAUGAUUUAAUCUAUAUUCAGUUCUCUAAUCUCUGAGAUUUUUCUCUGUCCACAUCUUCUGUCUGGCUUAAAAGCUUCAGAUACAGUUCCCAUACUUGUUGGAGUCCGCGGUUGGUUGGGGCUGUUUUCUUGGCGGUUCUUUCAUUGGAUUUUUUCUAUUGAUUCUAAAUGACAGAGCUUUGAAGCUACAUUCAGUGCUCUAGAUUGCUUUUAAAGGCAGUAUGGAGAAGGUACCUUGAUUGCUUAUUAGGAUUUGUUAUGGCACUUGUAAAGUUCUGUAGUUUGUUGUCCACACAAGUAGUUACUUUUAGUUUGCUUAAUUUCUCUUUAGUGAGCAUUAGAGUAGAUCAAAAUUAUUGCCCCGGCCCUGCCCUGCCCCUGCUUUUAAGUUAAUUGUAAUAAAUUCUGUAACUCCGAAUAUGUUCUGUGCUAAUUACAGACAAUACCGUGUGUGUUUGUAUUGUCCGAUGAGUAAUUAACUUCCUUAAGAAAUAUGCUACAUUGCUUGCUUUCUUGUGUUUUCUGAAAUUUGAACUUACCCACUGUUUGUAUUCUAAUAAUUUUGCAUUAUAUCUGAUCCAUGGCUGGCCAUCUGGAUUGAGGUCACUCGGGGAGGUUUCAUGCCGCCGUAUCAAACUGAAGUUAUUUUUCAGUUACAUAUCCUCAUGACCUCGUCUAUCUUCAAUUCCUGUAAGUAUAUCUGUUUUUUUUUCUAUUGGGAUCAAGUCUAGAAAUGUGUCUGUUAUAUAGUGGAUGCUCUAUAAACUAUCUGAGACAAUUUCAUCAGUGGCAUGUAAUUGUAACAUUGAGUUUGUGAUGUCCAGUCUAACUAAAAGUCGUGUUCUAUUAAAAUCAUAUUUUUCACUUUAAGAGUUACUUGUUGAAGUAUGAAAGUUUCUCUUUUGCUGGAAUAUGAAACGUACUAUGAAUCUUACGAGGAAUUCACUUUUUAUUAUAUUAUAUGUUUAAAUCCUUACAACUUGGUGAGCCAAUUUCUGUUAUUUUGUUUCAUAUAGUAUGGUUGUUUUUAGCUUGCUACCUUCUGUAAGUGUUAUAUUCGAUUUAGGAUGAUUGCUUUCCCUUCCCUUACUUCACCAAAUAAAAGUGUGAUUUCAUUCUGUGAUUCUGCAACUGAACAAUUUUACAGUGACCUAUACUGCUUGUUGCACCAACUUUGAUUUAUCUUCUCUAAUACUUUCUAGCCAAAACCUAUUUAUCAACGUCUAUCCAGGAUUACAAUCUCAACAGAUAUUCUCACAACAGAAAGUUAAAGGGGAUUUUUUUGUGAAUGUGGACUCUAAAAUAGAGCAUAAAGUAGUCUCAUUAGUUCAUUACCAGGGUUCACACAGAGCAAUAGAGAUAUUAUUGAGGAACGUAAGUAAAGAUACGACAUAUUUUAUAUUAUUUAUAAUAUAGUCUAUAAAUCUGCUUACACAUAUUAUUCAGAAAGGAAAGAUAUUUGGCUUCUUUUUGUAAGAUUAUUAAUAUUAAGCCCCAUAAAGUAUGGGUCAGUCCAUAGGAUUUUAUUAGCAGUAUUUAUACUUCACAUUGGAUCCUAAAUUUCCUUAGAACUGGUUUAUAUACAAUUAUUUGAUAUCAAUAUUUUUUGUGGUAGUGUAUUUUUUGUGUUCAAUCCACCCUAGGCUAUCUUUUUGUUGUUUCUGGUGUCAUAUAUCAUUGUUCCUGCAAGUUGUCCCGCAUCCAAUCGGCAUCAGAGCCGAAUUCUUGGGAGGUUUGGACAUUGAAUUAAUAAAAAUUCACUGCUGCAUUUAUUUUCUGUAAGUUAGUGAAAGUCAAUUCAUUAAUAGGAAUCCACCUGCAGUUUAGUUUCCAUCAUAUCUGCUGCUACUACCAUCAGAAUUAACAACCAGAAUAAAGUUCCCUUUGUUUCACUCUCUACCUCUCUUUUCGCUCCCUGCAAACAUAAUAGAGGCUGCUGCUACUGUGUUAAGCUUGGUAAAUUUUCUAUUUUCAGUGCAUUUUUUUGUUGGGGCUGAACUUACAUGUGUUUGGGCCAGCUCAACUCAUUACACCAUUUUUGUGCAACUUUUGCACUAUUUUUGAUGCCAAAAUUACACCAUUCACAAAUCCUACCCACCUACACAUAAUAUUACACCAAACAGAAUCUUUUAUUUAUAACAAGAUAGAUUCUUCUAAACUUUUCAAAUUUAUUUAUUUUUUGGGAUAUAAUAGGGGGAUAGAAAUGUUACAUAGAUGGAAUAAAUUUGUUAUAUCAACAAACAUGAGGGUGUACUUGGAAUUUUGAAAAUUUCUAUAAUGGUUCAAAAAAUACACCAAAUUUGGUGUGUAAAAUUUUUACGCCAAUAUGAGUUGCACUGGAGUUGAUUUUACACAAAAAGUUACACUUUUAUAAAGUUUUAGUGUUGGAUUGGAGAUGCUCUACCCCAGCCAGUCUGCCAUCAUUAGUAUCUGUUAAACGGCGGUUUAGUACCUAUUACUUUCUGAAUUCACAAGCUGUUCCCCCGAAUUACUUCAAUUUAUAAAUUUCAUUAGUCCACAAUUUGCUUUGCAAGGUGCCAAUGCUAGACCUUUUUCACCCCAUACCAUCCAAGAUUAUGUGGACUGUUGUAUAUUUCUUGUUAUUUUAUAAAUGCAUCUUUCAGCAAACUUGCUCAUAUGUCAUACAACUUGAGAAUUGGUUAUUGUCGUGUUACUUGAGUCAUGGCCCUUGAAUAUUGUUGUGGUUUUAGUGCUCCCCCUCUCCUUCCCAUUUUCACUUGUAAAAGCCUGCAACUGUUUGUAUUUUAAAGAUGUAUCUCGUCUUUAUGUAUUUGUAAAUAUAUACAUCUGGAUUUCACUCUUGAUGUUUCUUUGACUAGAAUUUGUUUAUGCUGCUACUUUGAUGAGGAUGUCUUGGUUAUAACCUAUUUUAUUCCUAUUAACUUUAAGUGCUAAGGGUUGUGGUAUGGAAUUAUUUUGGGGAUUGGAAUUCUUGGGGCGUGGUUAUUUAAAGAAAAUUUGUAGAAAUUGUAGCUUGUGUGUAUAUAUUAUUAUCUUGUUGUCAAGUUAGGCAGCAGCGCAAGCAAAGCCGAACAAGUCAUCAGCACUGAACAGUGGUAAUAUUUGUGUUCUUCAUAUGUACUGCUGUUUGAGGAUGCAGUUCUGUAAUCCUGCCUCUCUUUUUCUGUGCUGGAAAAGUGUUCUUGUAUGUAAACAAACCGACGAAGGCUUUUCUGAAGCAGUCCAGCUUCAGUAUAGACUUCUGAGGGUGUGAUAUCUGUUUUUUUUUGUCAUAGGGGGGAGAUAUCUGUUUUUUUUUUUUUUUGUCAUAGGGGUGAGAUAUCUGUUGACUAUAUCAUCACUUACCUGUAUGCGAAACCUUUAAUUUGUUAAAGUUAUAGGCUCCAGAAUCCUAUUUUGGUAUCAACUAUUAAUACAAGUUCGUGUAACUUGUGAAACAAUUGUAGUCCACUAAUUGUUCUGACCCUGUAGUGCAAGUAGCUUGAGCUGCCUUUUGUUU
This is an RNA transcript of Daucus carota subsp. sativus, 6709 nucleotides long. RefSeq lists it as uncharacterized. The record is from RefSeq and is a predicted model, not a curated record. The transcript is spliced from 14 exons. NCBI's taxonomy places the organism in Eukaryota, Viridiplantae, Streptophyta, Magnoliopsida, Apiales, Apiaceae.